RNAcentral lists this ribosomal RNA (217 nucleotides) under uncultured bacterium. Its description in RNAcentral is "partial 16S ribosomal RNA". It matches the Rfam family "Bacterial small subunit ribosomal RNA", at positions 524 to 732 of the family's 1533-position model. The record is from RNAcentral.
UACGUAGGGCGCAAGCGUUGUCCGGAAUUAUUGGGCGUAAAGAGCUCGUAGGCGGUUUGUCCGCGUCUGCCUGUGAAAUCCCGAGGCUCGAACCUCGGGCUUGCAGUGGGUACGGGCAGGACUAGAGUUGCGGGUAGGGGAGACUGGAAUUCCGUGGUGUAGCGGUGGAAUGCGCAGAUAUCAGGAGGAACACCGAGUGGCGAAGGCAGGUCUCUGG